UUUAUUACUCAUUACAUAAACUAAAAUAGGAAGGAUACAGAGAAGAUGAACAUAUCCCUACCUGCGGAUGACCUGAAAAUUAAUGGUGUUCCAAAUUGAA
Molecule: small nuclear RNA, 100 nt
Filed under: Mesocricetus auratus (golden hamster)
Lineage: Eukaryota; Metazoa; Chordata; Mammalia; Rodentia; Cricetidae
Source: RNAcentral